This 2482-nucleotide long non-coding RNA is filed under the name Linum usitatissimum (flax). RNAcentral describes it as "long non-coding RNA (LUSI_LNC002427)". The record is from RNAcentral. Lineage: Eukaryota; Viridiplantae; Streptophyta; Magnoliopsida; Malpighiales; Linaceae.
GAAUUACAGAAAUAACUAGGAUAUUAUUAGGCGUAUAACUUAGAGUAAUCUAGCUAUCCUAUAGAAUCAGUCUAGCCUGAUUUAGGCAGUGUAUUCAUAGUAAGGUGUAGGUAGGAUAAAUCCCCGAUUUGUAGGGAUUACUACGAGCUGGAUCUGCAUCCUAAUGAUGCAGACUGUGUAUAUAUGUAAAGGAAACCACAGAAAUAAGAAUUAUCAUACCAGAAUCAUUCUGAUUUCUAGAAUUCUGCAUGGUAUCAGAGCUUAGAUUCAGACCUUGAAUCCAGCUCCAUCAACCUUCCUUCUUCUAUCUCUCUCACUCUCAUCUGAUGGCGAACACGAACGAUGAAGUUCAAGUCCCAUCCUCGCCAUCUGUGACUUCAGGAGAUCCCUCCCAGAAGCACUCAAACCCAGCAGCCUCAUCAGACACAGUCCUGGGCUGUAUCACAAACCAUCGCCUCAACGGAGAUAACUAUCUCCAAUGGUCCUCGUCAGUACUGAAGUUUAUCUCAGGCAAGGGGAAAAGAGGCUACCUAACUGGAAAGACCAAGCAGCCAGCAGAGGAUGACCCAGAAUUUAUCAACUGGGAUAUUGAGGACAAUAUGGUCCAGUCGUGGCUUCUGAAUUCAAUGACCACGUCCAUUGGUGAGAAAUUUCUAAGCCAGAAGUACAAGGCGUUUGUGGGAACUCUUGACAACACAGAAAUCCCUCACUCCAUCGAAGAAGCUAUGAAAAUACCUCACUGGAGGGCAGCAGUGUUGGAAGAGAUAAGAGCAUUGCUCAAGAAUCAGACGUGGGAUACAGUACAGCUACCAGCUGGAAAAUCCACAGUGGAUUGCAAAUGGAUAUUCACAGUGAAGUAUACCUCAGAAGGAAAGAUUGAGAGGUAUAAGGCUCGUCUUGUAGCCAGAGGAUUCACACAGUGCUAUGGAGUGGACUACGAGGAGACAUUUGCUCCUGUAGCCAAGCUAAAAACUGUGAGAGUCCUUCUAAGCAUUGCAGUAAAUCUAGAUUGGCCCCUAUACCAAUUAGAUGUGAAGAAUGCGUUCCUAAACGGGGAUCUAAACGAAGAGGUGUAUAUGAAUGUCCCGGCAGGUGUUGCCACUGAACCGGGAAUGGUGUGCAGACUGAAGAAGGCACUGUAUGGCCUGAAGCAAUCUCCGCGAGCGUGGUUUGAGAGGUUCUCUCAGUCCAUGAAGAGAUACGGGUAUUAUCAGUGUCAAACUGAUCAUACCAUGUUUGUAAAGCAAAAUGAGGAAGGAAGAAAAGCCAUCCUCAUUGUAUAUGUUGAUGACAUUAUCAUCACAGGGGAUGAUGAAAAAGAAAUCAGACAGCUUAAGGAGAAGCUAGCACUGGAAUUCGAGAUAAAAGACCUAGGAAAUUUGAGGUAUUUCCUAGGUAUUGAAGUGGCACGAUCUAGUAAGGGACUAAGUUUAUCCCAGCGGAAAUACGUCUUAGAUUUGUUAAAGGAGACUGGGAUGAUUGGGUGCAAACCUGCGAGCACGCCAAUGGAGCACAACUUGAAGUUUGCUCUUGGCCAAGAAGCAGCACCAGUGGAGAGGGGGAGUUACCAGAAAUUGGUAGGAAAGCUAAUAUACUUAGCUCACACACGUCCAGAUAUCUCGUUUCCAGUAAGCAUUGUGAGCCAACAUAUGCACAAUCCAAAUGAAGAGCAUAUGGAGGCAGUGAUGAGAAUUUUAAGGUAUUUAAAAGGCACACCAGGUGUUGGGUUGCUGAUCCAGAAACACACUGGACGCAGAAUUUCGAUUUAUACGGAUGCGAGUUGGGCUGGAGACCUUACAGAUAGAAGGUCAAUCUCAGCUUACUGCACCUACGUAUGGGGGAACUUAGUGACCUGGCGGAGUAAGAAACAAACGGUGGUCUCAAGGAGCAGUGCUGAAGCAGAGUAUAGGGCACUGGCAGAUGGGAUUUGUGAAGGAGUUUGGCUAAGGCGCAUUCUAAGGGAACUCAAGAUGGAGGAUGAGGGUCCUGUUAGAGUGCUGUGUGACAGUCAGGCUGCACUAAGUAUUGUGAAGAAUCCAGUUCAUCAUGAUCGUACUAAACAUGUUGAACUGGAUCGUCAUUUCAUCUCUGAGAAAGUAAACAACAAGGAGUUCGAGAUGGAGUACGUUCCAUCUAAGCAGCAGAUUGCAGAUAUUCUCACGAAGGCUCUACCUAGAGAUAUGUUCGAUGAUCUACAAGGCAAGCUUGGCCUCCAUAACAUCUACAGCCAAGCUUGCGGUAUCUACAGCCAAACUUGAGGGGGAGUGUUGAAUUACAGAAAUAACUAGGAUAUUAUUAGGCGUAUAACUUAGAGUAAUCUAGCUAUCCUAUAGAAUCAGUCUAGCCUGAUUUAUGCAGUGUAUUCAUAGUAAGUGGUAGGUAGAAUAAAUCCCUGAUUUGUAGGGAUUACUACGAGCUGGAUCUGCAUCCUAAUGAUGCAGACUGUGUAUAUAUGUAAAGGAAACCACAGAAAUAAGAAUUA